AGUGUCGAGCCGAAAAAUUCAGCUCGUGUUCGGCUCAUUAAUAAACGAGCCGAACACGAGCUGGCUCACGAGCUGGCCAACGAACAAUAAAUUAAAAAGAAUUAGAUUUAAUAUAUAUAUAUAAAUAAAUUUAUAAAAUUUUAUCCAUUAGACUUUAAUCUAAUAGUUUAAACUUUACAUAUAAAUGAGUUUUUUUAUAAUUAAGCUCACAUUUAUAUUUUUAUUUUAUAAAAAUUAAAUAAUAAAAUAUAUAUUAUAUAUAUAAUUAUUUAUUUAUAUAUAAAAAUAUAUAUUAAAUAAAUUAUAUAAAUAUAAAAUAUAUGUAUUCGAGCUGUUAUCGAGCCGAACACGAGCAAGCUGACCUCAGCUUGUGUUCGGCUCGUUCAAUAAACGAGCCAAAAAAUUCAGCUCGUGUUCGGCUCGUUUACUAAACGAGCGAUUUGAUCUCGAGCUCAUUUCGAGCCGAACACGAGCUGGCUCGCGAACAGCGAGCUGGGUUGUCACCCCUACAUGCAGUUACACAACUGAGUAAAGAUUUUAUUCGUUUACCACGAUCUAUUAUCCCACCAAAAAUCAGAAACAAUUCAAAAUUUUUUCCUUAUUUUA
RNAcentral lists this long non-coding RNA (606 nucleotides) under Ananas comosus (pineapple). Its description in RNAcentral is "long non-coding RNA (ACOM_LNC037577)". Lineage: Eukaryota; Viridiplantae; Streptophyta; Magnoliopsida; Poales; Bromeliaceae. The record is from RNAcentral.